AUUCCAGCUCCAAUAGCGUAUAUUAAAAUUGCUGCAGUUAAAAAGCUCGUAGUUGGAUCUUGGGCGCAGGCUGGCGGUCCGCCGCAAGGCGCGCCACUGCCCGCCUGGCCUUCCUCUCGGUCUCCGCCCGGUUCUCUUAACUGAGUGCCGGGCGCGGCCGAAACGUUUACUUUGAAAAAAUUGGAGUGUUCAAAGCAGGCCGCGCGCCUGGACAGCAGAGCAUGGAAUAAUGGAAUAGGACCUCGGUUCUAUUGCGUUGGUUUUCGGAACUCGAGGUAAUGAUUAAGAGGGACUGACGGGGGCAUUCGUAUUGCGGUGUGAGAGGUGAAAUUCUUGGAUCGCCGCAAGACGACCGACUGCGAAAGCAUUUGCCAAGAAUGUUUUCAUCA
This 389-nucleotide ribosomal RNA is filed under the name Echinodermata sp. RNAcentral's name for it is "partial small subunit ribosomal RNA". It matches the Rfam family "Eukaryotic small subunit ribosomal RNA", at positions 582 to 975 of the family's 1831-position model. Lineage: Eukaryota; Metazoa; Echinodermata. The record is from RNAcentral.